CAAGUCGAACGAGGUCCUGGUGCAUCAAUGCACCGGAAGACCUAGUGGCGAACGGGUGAGGAACACGUGAGAAACCUGCCCCGAACUCUGGGAUAACAGUUGGAAACGACUGCUAAUACCGGAUGCCGUCGCGAAGUGGCAUCACUUUGCGACGAAAGAAUUUCGGUUCGGGAGGGUCUCGCGGCCUAUCAGCUAGUUGGUGGGGUAACGGCCUACCAAGGCAUCGACGGGUAGCUGGUCUGAGAGGAUGAACAGCCACACUGGGACUGAGACACGGCCCAGACCCCUACGGGAGGCAGCAGUGGGGAAUCUUGCGCAAUGGGCGAAAGCCUGACGCACCAACGCCGCGUGCGGGAAGAAGGCCUUCGGGUUGUAAACCGCUUUCAGCAGGAAAGAAAAUGACGGUACCUGCAGAAGAAGGUGCGGCCAACUACGUGCCAGCAGCCGCGGUGACACGUAGGCACCAAGCGUUGUCCGGAUUUAUUGGGCGUAAAGAGCUCGUAGGCGGUUCAGUAAGUCGGGUGUGAAAACUCUGGGCCUAACCCAGAGCCUGCACCCGAAACUGCUGUGACUAGAGUUCGGUAGGGGAGCAGGGAAUUCCUGGUGUAGCGGUGAAAUGCGCAGAUAUCAGGAGGAACACCGGUGGCGAAGGCGCCGCUCUGGGCCGACACUGACGCUGAGGAGCGAAAGCGUGGGUAGCAAACAGGAUUAGAUACCCUGGUAGUCCACGCCGUAAACGUUGGGCACUUAGUGUGGGUCUCAGCUAACGAGAUCCGCGGCGUCGCUAACGCAUUAAGUGCCCCCGCCUGGGGAGUACCGUCGCAAGACUAAAACUCAAAGAAUUGACGG
Molecule: ribosomal RNA, 849 nt
Filed under: uncultured bacterium
Lineage: Bacteria
Description: bacterial SSU rRNA
Rfam family: Bacterial small subunit ribosomal RNA
Source: RNAcentral